This 570-nucleotide ribosomal RNA is filed under the name uncultured Pseudomonas sp. RNAcentral describes it as "bacterial SSU rRNA". It matches the Rfam family "Bacterial small subunit ribosomal RNA", at positions 19 to 584 of the family's 1533-position model. Lineage: Bacteria; Pseudomonadati; Pseudomonadota; Gammaproteobacteria; Pseudomonadales; Pseudomonadaceae. The record is from RNAcentral.
CUGGCUCAGAUUGAACGCUGGCGGCAGGCCUAACACAUGCAAGUCGAGCGGUAGAGAGAAGCUUGCUUCUCUUGAGAGCGGCGGACGGGUGAGUAAUGCCUAGGAAUCUGCCUGGUAGUGGGGGAUAACGUUCGGAAACGGACGCUAAUACCGCAUACGUCCUACGGGAGAAAGCAGGGGACCUUCGGGCCUUGCGCUAUCAGAUGAGCCUAGGUCGGAUUAGCUAGUUGGUGAGGUAAUGGCUCACCAAGGCGACGAUCCGUAACUGGUCUGAGAGGAUGAUCAGUCACACUGGAACUGAGACACGGUCCAGACUCCUACGGGAGGCAGCAGUGGGGAAUAUUGGACAAUGGGCGAAAGCCUGAUCCAGCCAUGCCGCGUGUGUGAAGAGGGUCUUCGGAUUGUAAAGCACUUUAAGUUGGGAGGAAGGGUUGUAGAUUAAUACUCUGCAAUUUUGACGUUACCGACAGAAUAAGCACCGGCUAACUCUGUGCCAGCAGCCGCGGUAAUACAGAGGGUGCAAGCGUUAAUCGGAAUUACUGGGCGUAAAGCGCGCGUAGGUGGUUUGUU